RNAcentral lists this ribosomal RNA (427 nucleotides) under uncultured beta proteobacterium. Its description in RNAcentral is "bacterial SSU rRNA". It matches the Rfam family "Bacterial small subunit ribosomal RNA", at positions 355 to 774 of the family's 1533-position model. The record is from RNAcentral. Lineage: Bacteria; Pseudomonadati; Pseudomonadota; Betaproteobacteria.
UGGGGAAUUUUGGACAAUGGGCGAAAGCCUGAUCCAGCCAUGCCGCGUGAGUGAAGAAGGCCUUCGGGUUGUAAAGCUCUUUUAGUCGGAAAGAAAGAGUUGCAAUGAAUAAUUGUGAUUUAUGACGGUACCGACAGAAAAAGCACCGGCUAACUACGUGCCAGCAGCCGCGGUAAUACGUAGGGGGCGAGCGUUAAUCGGAAUUACUGGGCGUAAAGGGUGCGCAGGCGGUUUUGUAAGUCAGAUGUGAAAUCCCCGGGCUUAACCUGGGAAUUGCGUUUGAAACUGCAAGACUAGAGUGCAGCAGAGGGGAGUGGAAUUCCAUGUGUAGCAGUGAAAUGCGUAGAGAUGUGGAAGAACACCGAUGGCGAAGGCAGCUCCCUGGGUUGACACUGACGCUCAUGCACGAAAGCGUGGGGAGCAAACA